This 403-nucleotide ribosomal RNA is filed under the name uncultured bacterium. RNAcentral describes it as "bacterial SSU rRNA". It matches the Rfam family "Bacterial small subunit ribosomal RNA", at positions 30 to 433 of the family's 1533-position model. The record is from RNAcentral.
AUUGAACGCUGGCGGCAGGCCUAACACAUGCAAGUCGAGCGGUAGAGAGGUGCUUGCAUCUCUUGAGAGCGGCGGACGGGUGAGUAAUGCCUAGGAAUCUGCCUAGUGGUGGGGGAUAACGUUCGGAAACGGACGCUAAUACCGCAUACGUCCUACGGGAGAAAGCGGGGGAUCUUCGGACCUCGCGCCAUUAGAUGAGCCUAGGUCGGAUUAGCUAGUUGGUGAGGUAAUGGCUCACCAAGGCGACGAUCCGUAACUGGUCUGAGAGGAUGAUCAGUCACACUGGAACUGAGACACGGUCCAGACUCCUACGGGAGGCAGCAGUGGGGAAUAUUGGACAAUGGGCGCAAGCCUGAUCCAGCCAUGCCGCGUGCAGGAAUAAGGUCCUAUGGAUGUAAACUGC